AUUAUAACUCCGCCUGUAUCUCCUCCUGGGGCUACUGCCGGUCCUAAGCCCGGAUAAAGGAGGAGAGUUGG
This 71-nucleotide non-coding RNA is filed under the name Schistosoma mansoni. Lineage: Eukaryota; Metazoa; Platyhelminthes; Trematoda; Strigeidida; Schistosomatidae. The record is from RNAcentral.